Molecule: small RNA, 128 nt
Filed under: Serratia marcescens
Lineage: Bacteria; Pseudomonadati; Pseudomonadota; Gammaproteobacteria; Enterobacterales; Yersiniaceae
Description: RtT sRNA
Rfam family: RtT RNA
About the family: This family represents a bacterial cis-regulatory element known as RtT RNA. The exact function of RtT is unknown although it is thought that it may be involved in changing the cellular response in relation to amino acid starvation.
Source: RNAcentral
UUCGCCUGUCGUUUAUGAGGAUGAGUACCUCCCUGGGGGUUCGAGCCUCGCGUAGCGAGACAACGUUGCUUCAGCAACGGCCCGCAGGGCGCGCAUCAAGGAUGCGCGUAAUCCUCUCUCGCCGACCA